AACAAAAUACCUAGCUAUAUAUUCCAUAGCACCUCCCUAAUUUAUCCGGCCCGUAUCCCAGAAACAUUAGCAAGGUAUACGGCAGCGUUUGCUCGCAGUUGGCCCUAGUAUUGCAGCGAGAACGAGCAAAAUGGAAGCCCUGGGGAUUGGAAACGAUGGCGAGCGCGGCGGCCGUCGACAGCUGAAUCAAUUCCAGAAGUUUUGGGCCACGGUUGGGUUUCUUACCAUGGUUUUCUCGGUGAGCGGCAUCCUCUGGUCUCCUUCCUUGGAGCAUGGGCUCGUUUCGACCAUGCAUCUCUUCUUCUUAUACAUGCUAUUGGUGCUGGGGUCGGGGUUGGUUCUGCUCUCAGUGAUGCUUCCUGUAGCCGAAGGAGUGGUCCGGCCUGCCACGUUGGUGGCACUCGCCUUGUUCUGUCUCUUCUUUGGAGGUCACGAUGAAUUUUUUCCUUUCGUCUAAGAGUCUUUUCUGAUGCCGUUCUCACUCUGAUCGGGUCUGUUUUAGAUCUCUGUGAUCAUUAUCUUGUAUUUGCAUGUGGUUUAUGUCCGCAGCUUAUGUUUGAUGUCUCAUAAUUAUGGUUUGCGUGUUUUGUCUUAAGACGGAAAUGAUAUAUGUGAUCAUCCUUUUCUAUUUCCUCUGUAAAUGACCGAAACUGUAUAACAGGUUGAUGAGUGCGCC
RNAcentral lists this long non-coding RNA (676 nucleotides) under Elaeis guineensis (African oil palm). RNAcentral describes it as "long non-coding RNA (EGUI_LNC030310)". The record is from RNAcentral. Lineage: Eukaryota; Viridiplantae; Streptophyta; Magnoliopsida; Arecales; Arecaceae.